UGCGUAGGCGGUGCAGCAAGUCGGGUGUGAAAUCCCUCAGCUCAACUGAGGAAUUGCGCCCGAAACUGCUGUGCUUGAGGAAUACAGAGGUAUGCGGAACUUAGGGUGGAGCGGUGAAAUGCGUUGAUAUCCUAAGGAACACCGGUGGCGAAAGCGGCAUACUGGGUAUUUUCUGACGCUCAUGCACAAAGCUAGGGUAGCAACG
RNAcentral lists this ribosomal RNA (205 nucleotides) under uncultured bacterium. RNAcentral's name for it is "partial 16S ribosomal RNA". It matches the Rfam family "Bacterial small subunit ribosomal RNA", at positions 568 to 773 of the family's 1533-position model. The record is from RNAcentral.